RNAcentral lists this ribosomal RNA (526 nucleotides) under Penicillium crustosum. RNAcentral's name for it is "eukaryotic LSU rRNA". The stretch from base 148 to 300 matches the Rfam family "5.8S ribosomal RNA". The record is from RNAcentral. Lineage: Eukaryota; Fungi; Ascomycota; Eurotiomycetes; Eurotiales; Aspergillaceae.
CACUCCAGCCCUUUUUUUCCUUGUUGCUUCCGCCGGCCCGCCCCCUCCCUCCGCCGGGGGGCUCACGCCCCCCNCCCCACACCCUCCCAAAACUCCCUCGAAUUCUGUANCUAGAUUAAAAACUUAAAAAUAUUAAAAAUUAUUUAAAACUUUCAACAACGGAUCUCUUAACUCCGGCAUCGAUGAAGAACACAGCGAAUUGCGAAACUUAAUGAGAAUUGCAAAUUCUGAGAAUCAUCGAGUCUCCCAGCGCUCCUUGCGCCCCCUCGUAUUCCGGGGGCCUUUCCUCUCCCAGCGUCAUUUCUGCCCUCAAGCCCGGCUUCCGCGUCGGGCCCCGACCCCCGAUCUCGGGGGUACGGGCCCGAAAGGCUGCGGCAACCCCUCNNCCGGUCCUCUACGGAUGGGGCUUUGUCACCCGCCCCCAUUCCCGGCCGGCCCUUGGCAAUCAACCGAAUCCCAUCCAGGUUGACCUCGCAUCAGGUCGGAGAUACCCGCUGAACUUAAGCAUAUCAAUAGGCGGAGGAAG